This 467-nucleotide ribosomal RNA is filed under the name uncultured bacterium. RNAcentral describes it as "partial 16S ribosomal RNA". It matches the Rfam family "Bacterial small subunit ribosomal RNA", at positions 29 to 507 of the family's 1533-position model. The record is from RNAcentral.
ACGAACGCUGGCGGCGUGCUUAACCCAUGCCAGUCGCACGGAAAGGCCCUGCGUUUGUGGGGUGCUCGAGUGGCGAACGGGUGAGUAACACGUGAGUAACCUGCCCUUGACUUUGGGAUAACUUCAGGAAACUGGGGCUAAUACCGGAUAGGAGCUCCUGCUGCAUGGUGGGGGUUGGAAAGUUUCGGCGGUUGGGGAUGGACUCGCGGCUUAUCAGCUUGGUGGUGGGGUAGUGGCUUACCAAGGCUUUGACGGGUAGCCGGCCUGAGAGGGUGACCGGCCACAUUGGGACUGAGAUACGGCCCAGACUCCUACGGGAGGCAGCAGUGGGGAAUAUUGCACAAUGGGCGGAAGCCUGAUGCAGCAACGCCGCGUGCGGGAUGACGGCCUUCGGGUUGUAAACCGCUUUCGCCUGUGACGAAGCGUGAGUGACGGUAAUGGGUAAAGAAGCACCGGCUAACUACGUG